CACACCGCCCGUCGCUACUACCGAUUGAAUGGCUCAGUGAGGCUUCCGGACUGGCCUAGAGGAGUCGGCAACGACACCUCGGGGCCGGAAAGUUAUCCAAACUCGGUCAUUUAGAGGAAGUAAAAGUCGUAACAAGGUCUCCGUUGGUGAACCAGCGGAGGGAUCAUUACAGAGUACAACUCUCCAACCCACGCGAACCUACCUAGAAGUUGCUUCGGCGGCUCCCGCGAGGCCACACGGCCCCGCGCUACGCCGCCGACGGCACGCUAAACUCUGUUUACUUGCAUUCUGAACAAAACAAACAAAUAAGUUAAAACUUUCAACAACGGAUCUCUUGGUUCUGGCAUCGAUGAAGAACGCAGCGAAAUGCGAUAAGUAAUGUGAAUUGCAGAAUUCAGUGAAUCAUCGAAUCUUUGAACGCACAUUGCGCCCAUUAGUAUUCUAGUGGGCAUGCCUGUUCGAGCGUCAUUUCAACCUCUCAAGCCUCGUUGCUUGGUGUUGGGACUCUGCGUCUUAGCAGUUCCCUAAAGCUAGUGGCGGAGCUGGAUAGCACUCUGAGCGUAGUAAAUCACCUCGCUUCUGUGGGCUUCCGGCGCCGGCCGUUAAACCUUACUUUGCAAGAGUAAAUAUUCUGGUUGACCUCGGAUCAGGUAGGAAUACCCGCUGAACUUAAGCAUAUCAAUAAGCGGAGGAAAAGAAACCAACAGGGAUUGCCCUAGUAACGGCGAGUGAAGCGGCAACAGCUCAAAUUUGAAAUCUGGCCCUUGGGUCCGAGUUGUAAUUUGCAGAGGAUGUUUUUGGCGUGGUGCCUUCUGAGUUCUCUGGAACGAGACGCCUUAGAGGGUGAGAGCCCCGUACAGUCGGACGCCUAGCCUAUAUAAAACUCCUUCGACGAGUCGAGUUGUUUGGGAAUGCAGCUCAAAAUGGGAGGUAAAUUUCUUCUAAAGCUAAAUACCGGCCAGAGACCGAUAGCGCACAAGUAGAGUGAUCGAAAGAUGAAAAGCACUUUGAAAAGAGGGUUAAACAGCACGUGAAAUUGUUGAAAGGGAAGCGUUUGCGACCAGAUCUCUGCCGGGCGGAUCAUGCGGUGUUCUCACCGCUGCACACCGCCCGGCCGAGGCCAGCAUCGGUCUGUGCGGGGGGACAAAAGUCUGAGGAACGUGGCUCCCCCGGGAGUGUUAUAGCCUCUUACAUAAUACCCCCGCGUGGACCGAGGUACGCGCUCUGCAAGGAUGCUGGCGUAAUGGUCGUCAACGACCCGUCUUGAAACACGGACCAAGGAGUCGAACAUUUGUGCGAGUGUUUGGGUGUCAAACCCUCACGCGUAAUGAAAGUGAACGGAGGUGAGAGCCCUUACGGGGUGCAUCAUCGACCGAUCCUGAAGUCUUCGGAUGGAUUUGAGUAAGAGCAUAACUGUUCGGACCCGAAAGAUGGUGAACUAUGCGUGGAUAGGGUGAAGCCAGAGGAAACUCUGGUGGAGGCUCGCAGCGGUUCUGACGUGCAAAUCGAUCGUCAAAUCUGCGCAUGGGGGCGAAAGUGAGUUUCUCUCCCUGCCAGUAUUAUCUUAGACGAGC
Molecule: ribosomal RNA, 1574 nt
Filed under: Acrocordiella occulta
Lineage: Eukaryota; Fungi; Ascomycota; Sordariomycetes; Xylariales; Requienellaceae
Description: eukaryotic LSU rRNA
Rfam family: Eukaryotic large subunit ribosomal RNA (bases 637-1574)
Source: RNAcentral